This 354-nucleotide unclassified non-coding RNA is filed under the name soil metagenome. RNAcentral's name for it is "partial contains 5.8S ribosomal RNA, internal transcribed spacer 2, and large subunit ribosomal RNA". The stretch from base 1 to 120 matches the Rfam family "5.8S ribosomal RNA", at positions 35 to 154 of the family's 154-position model. The record is from RNAcentral.
GAUGAAGAACGCAGCGAAAUGCGAUAAGUAAUGUGAAUUGCAGAAUUCAGUGAAUCAUCGAAUCUUUGAACGCACAUUGCGCCCGCCAGUAUUCUGGCGGGCAUGCCUGUCCGAGCGUCAUUUCAACCCUCGAACCCCUCCGGGGGGUCGGCGUUGGGGAUCGGCCCUGCCUUUGGCGGUGGCCGUCUCCGAAAUACAGUGGCGGUCUCGCCGCAGCCUCUCCUGCGCAGUAGUUUGCACACUCGCAUCGGGAGCGCGGCGCGUCCACAGCCGUUAAACACCCAACUUCUGAAAUGUUGACCUCGGAUCAGGUAGGAAUACCCGCUGAACUUAAGCAUAUCAAUAAGCGGAGGA